UCCUUCAUUAAUCAACUUUUCUUAUUAUUUAAAAGACCUUUCUGUGUUUGAGUCUGUGUAUUAUGCUGAGAAUAAGAUGCAAGUGUCUAAGAAUCUCAAAACAGGCACACCAACCCAGCUGAAAACAACAGGAUUUGGGCGUAUGGCUGGGAAGGGAAAGGCUGUACCUCAGCAGCAGUGCAUCUGCCUGGAGAGCAGCUGACAGUCAGUGCAGACGCUGCUGAUUGGAUGGAUCAAUGGUCUGACUCAGUGUAAGGCUGCUGCCUUU
Podarcis muralis (Common wall lizard) is the source of this 268-nucleotide non-coding RNA. The record is from RefSeq and is a predicted model, not a curated record. Lineage: Eukaryota; Metazoa; Chordata; Lepidosauria; Squamata; Lacertidae.